This 335-nucleotide unclassified non-coding RNA is filed under the name soil metagenome. RNAcentral's name for it is "partial contains 5.8S ribosomal RNA, internal transcribed spacer 2, and large subunit ribosomal RNA". The stretch from base 1 to 120 matches the Rfam family "5.8S ribosomal RNA", at positions 35 to 154 of the family's 154-position model. The record is from RNAcentral.
GAUGAAGAACGCAGCGAAAUGCGAUAAGUAAUGUGAAUUGCAGAACUCAGUGAAUCAUCGAAUCUUUGAACGCACAUUGCGCCCGCCAGUAUUCUGGCGGGCAUGCCUGUUCGAGCGUCAUUUCAACCAUCAAGCCCCCGGCUUGUGUUGGGGACCUGCGGCUGCCGCAGGCCCUGAAAACCAGUGGCGGGCUCGCUAGUCACUCCGAGCGUAGUAAUACAUCUCGCUCAGGGCGUGCUGCGGGUUCCGGCCGUUAAAAAGCCUUAUUUACCCAAGGUUGACCUCGGAUCAGGUAGGAAGACCCGCUGAACUUAAGCAUAUCAAUAAGCGGAGGA